GAGCUCGUAUUAUGUGAG
This 18-nucleotide unclassified non-coding RNA is filed under the name Mus musculus (house mouse). RNAcentral's name for it is "oocyte_clustered_small_RNA5322". Lineage: Eukaryota; Metazoa; Chordata; Mammalia; Rodentia; Muridae. The record is from RNAcentral.